Molecule: ribosomal RNA, 507 nt
Filed under: uncultured Prevotella sp.
Lineage: Bacteria; Pseudomonadati; Bacteroidota; Bacteroidia; Bacteroidales; Prevotellaceae
Description: bacterial SSU rRNA
Rfam family: Bacterial small subunit ribosomal RNA
Source: RNAcentral
GAUGAAACGCUAGCUACAGGCUUAACACAUGCAAGUCGCAGGGUACAUGAGGAAAGCUUGCUUCCUUGAUGACGACUGGCGCACGGUGAGUAACGCGUAUCCAACUUCCCAUAACUACGGGAUAACCCGUUGAAAGACGGCCUAAUACCGUAUGAUAUCGUUUGCUGACAUCAAAUAAACGAUUAAAGGUUUAGCGGUUAUGGAUGGGGAUGCGUCUGAUUAGCUUGUUGGCGGGGUAACGGCCCACCAAGGCUACGAUCAGUAGGGGUUCUGAGAGGAAGGUCCCCACAUUGGAACUGAGACACGGUCCAAACUCCUACGGGAGGCAGCAGUGAGGAAUAUUGGUCAAUGGGCGAGAGCCUGAACCAGCCAAGUAGCGUGCAGGAAGACGGCCCUAUGGGUUGUAAACUGCUUUUAUGUGGGGAUAAAGUGCGUGACGUGUCAUGCAUUGCAGGUACCACAUGAAUAAGGACCGGGCUAAUUCCCGUGCCAGCAGCCGCGGUAAAU